Molecule: ribosomal RNA, 24 nt
Filed under: Marmota marmota marmota (Alpine marmot)
Lineage: Eukaryota; Metazoa; Chordata; Mammalia; Rodentia; Sciuridae
Source: RNAcentral
ACCUGAUCUCAUCUGAUCUCAGAA